This 301-nucleotide ribosomal RNA is filed under the name uncultured bacterium. RNAcentral's name for it is "partial 16S ribosomal RNA". It matches the Rfam family "Bacterial small subunit ribosomal RNA", at positions 509 to 807 of the family's 1533-position model. The record is from RNAcentral.
CAGUAGCCGCGGGAAUACGGAGGAUCCAAGCGUUAUCCGGAAUCAUUGGGUUUAAAGGGUCCGUAGGCGGUCUUGUAAGUCAGUGGUGAAAGCCCAUCGCUCAACGGUGGAACGGCCAUUGAUACUGCAGGACUUGAAUUAUUGGGAAGUAACUAGAAUAUGUAGUGUAGCGGUGAAAUGCUUAGAGAUUACAUGGAAUACCAAUUGCGAAGGCAGGUUACUACCAAUUGAUUGACGCUGAUGGACGAAAGCGUGGGUAGCGAACAGGAUUAGAUACCCCGGUAGUCCCUGUCUCUUAUAC